RNAcentral lists this ribosomal RNA (793 nucleotides) under Marasmius cf. leoninus JO320. RNAcentral's name for it is "partial large subunit ribosomal RNA". It matches the Rfam family "Eukaryotic large subunit ribosomal RNA", at positions 111 to 891 of the family's 3401-position model. Lineage: Eukaryota; Fungi; Basidiomycota; Agaricomycetes; Agaricales; Marasmiaceae. The record is from RNAcentral.
AAAUUUAAAAUCUGGCCGCCUCGGUGUCCGAGUUGUAAUUUAGAGAAGUGCUACCCGSGUYYGGACCGUGUAUAAGUCUCCUGGAAUGGAGCGUCAUAGAGGGUGAGAAUCCCGUCUUUGACACGGACUACCAGGGCAUUGUGGUGUGCUCUCGAAGAGUCGAGUUGUUUGGGAAUGCAGCUCUAAAUGGGUGGUAAAUUCCAUCUAAAGCUAAAUAUUGGCGAGAGACCGAUAGCGAACAAGUACCGUGAGGGAAAGAUGAAAAGAACUUUGGAAAGAGAGUUAAACAGUACGUGAAAUUGCUGAAAGGGAAACGCUUGAAGUCAGUCGCGUUGGCCGGGGAUCAGCCUCGCUUUUUGUGAGGUGUACUUCCUGGUCGACGGGUCAGCAUCAGUUUCGACCACUGGAGAAAGGCUUGGGGAACGUGGCACCUUCGGGUGUGUUAUAGCCCCUUGUUGUAUACAGUGGUUGGGACUGAGGAACUCAGCACGCCGCAAGGCCGGGUUUCGACCACGUUCGUGCUUAGGAUGCUGGCAAAAUGGCUUUAAGCGACCCGUCUUGAAACACGGACCAAGGAGUCUAACAUGCUUGCGAGUGUUUGGGUGGAAAACCCGAGCGCGUAAUGAAAGUGAAAGUUGAGAUCCCUGUCGUGGGGAGCAUCGACGCCCGGACCUGAUGUUUACUGACGGAUCUGCGGUAGAGCACGUAUGUUGGGACCCGAAAGAUGGUGAACUAUGCCUGAAUAGGGCGAAGCCAGAGGAAACUCUGCUCCCCGCUCGUAGCGAUUCUGAAG